GUCGCAAAGACUUCGGGAGAUGGAACUCUUCCCUUUUUCGUCUCCUCCAACGAUCUGCACAGCUGAAAGGCCCAACUUUGGUUAGCAGGCACCCGCGUGGAUAUGUUCCUUUUGUACACACGUUGGCAGAAGGGAUGCAUCCCUCGACUCUGCUGGUGUGGACCCUGUACAUGCACUGCCAGCUCAUCUCGUGUGUGCGGAGUGGCUUCGGGAUGUGCAGAAACACAUACAGAGCUCAGCACAACAAGGAAAGACUUCCCAAUCACAGCCAAACCUAAAUGGCACCUCUGAGUUGGGCGUGGUGGCUGGGAAUGUGAGAAUAAGUGGACUUGUUUCUGGACAUUCAGGAUGGGACAAGGCACAGGCAGGAAGGGAAGUGUGAGAGCCCAGUGAUGUGGUGUGAGCACAAGUUUGGGAGGAACUGAUUUAGGGGGUUUUGGUGUCUUUUGGUGGGCAAAGUGACUACACUGAAGUGUUUGUGGGCAAGGGCAGAGUAAAGCAGGAUAAGAAUAGUAAAAUCACACCAAACGUAAUUUGUACAGGGAAACUGGUACUUACCCCUUUUAUGGCAUAUUGUGUGUUCCACUUCUUUUCACACAACCUGACAUGCCAGAAAUCACACUAUGUUUUUCCCUGUGAGAAGCUUUCCUCUAUCCAGGCUGCACACCCCAAGUAAAUACAUUGAUUUCCUGGCACCCCAA
This is a long non-coding RNA of Gallus gallus (chicken), 701 nucleotides long. RefSeq lists it as uncharacterized. The record is from RefSeq and is a predicted model, not a curated record. The transcript has 2 exons. Lineage: Eukaryota; Metazoa; Chordata; Aves; Galliformes; Phasianidae.